RNAcentral lists this microRNA precursor (191 nucleotides) under Oryza brachyantha (malo sina). RNAcentral's name for it is "MIR812 microRNA precursor family". It matches the Rfam family "MIR812 microRNA precursor family", at positions 19 to 188 of the family's 205-position model. The record is from Rfam by way of RNAcentral. Lineage: Eukaryota; Viridiplantae; Streptophyta; Magnoliopsida; Poales; Poaceae.
AAUAAUCCCAUUUUCUAUUUUUUCGUGUCUAACGUUUGAUCAUUUGUCUUAUUUAAUUUUUUUUAUGAUUAAUAUUUUUAUUAUUACUAGAUAAUAAAAUAUGAAUAGUACUUUAUACGUGACUAAAUUUUUAAAAGUUUUUAUGUAAAUUUUUUAAAUAAAACGAAUGGUCAAACAUUAGACACGAAAAA